This 71-nucleotide ribosomal RNA is filed under the name Clostridioides difficile. RNAcentral's name for it is "partial 16S ribosomal RNA". The stretch from base 1 to 59 matches the Rfam family "Bacterial small subunit ribosomal RNA", at positions 1475 to 1533 of the family's 1533-position model. Lineage: Bacteria; Bacillati; Bacillota; Clostridia; Peptostreptococcales; Peptostreptococcaceae. The record is from RNAcentral.
CUGGGGUGAAGUCGUAACAAGGUAACCGUAUCGGAAGGUGCGGCUGGAUCACCUCCUUUCUAAGGAGAAUU